This 465-nucleotide ribosomal RNA is filed under the name Ottowia sp. canine oral taxon 014. RNAcentral describes it as "bacterial SSU rRNA". It matches the Rfam family "Bacterial small subunit ribosomal RNA", at positions 9 to 472 of the family's 1533-position model. The record is from RNAcentral. Lineage: Bacteria; Pseudomonadati; Pseudomonadota; Betaproteobacteria; Burkholderiales; Comamonadaceae.
GAGUUUGAUCCUGGCUCAGAUUGAACGCUGGCGGAAUGCUUUACACAUGCAAGUCGAGCGGCAGCGCGGGGCAACCUGGCGGCGAGCGGCGAACGGGUGAGUAAUACAUCGGAACGUGCCCAGACGUGGGGGAUAGCCCGGCGAAAGCCGGAUUAAUACCGCAUGUGAUCUGAGGAUGAAAGCGGGGGACCUUCGGGCCUCGCGCGUUUGGAGCGGCCGAUGGCAGAUUAGGUAGUUGGUGGGGUAAAGGCUUACCAAGCCUGCGAUCUGUAGCUGGUCUGAGAGGAUGAUCAGCCACACUGGGACUGAGACACGGCCCAGACUCCUACGGGAGGCAGCAGUGGGGAAUUUUGGACAAUGGGCGAAAGCCUGAUCCAGCCAUUCCGCGUGCAGGACGAAGGCCCUCGGGUUGUAAACUGCUUUUGUACAGAACGAAAAGUCUUCGGUUAAUAACCCGGGGAUUCA